ACAACUGGCUUACUGCAAGAGAAUACGCAACUGUUGUAUGUACAGUAUCUCAAGUGCAGCACUACGUCCAGAAUUUGGCAGUAUUUCUUUUCGGUUACGAUACAUUACUCCGAUCCACGGUGACAGACAGGGCCAGUAAUCGGAACAAAGGAACAAAAGUACCUCCUGCAAGAAGUGUAGAUGAUGAAACGAUUAUGGUUAUCAAAGAUCAAAAACUGUGCAAUUAGAGAAAAUAGAACACAGAAUUGUUCAAGAAGUCGAACAAACUGAACAGGAGGACAAAUGUUUGUUGGAAUACAAACAGGAAAUGAAUUUGCUUAUGCAAGAAAAAAUGGUACAUGUCGAAGUACUUAGACAAAUACGUGCAGAUGUCAAUACGAUGGAGUCCGUGAUAAGGCAGCCGAAGAAUCUCGAAACAGAGCACGGGGAACCGCUAAGUUGAUUCACAUAAAUGACUAUCAGCCUGCAAAACAUGACAUCGAUCGCAUGAUAAGAGAUUAUCAGGCCCCUAAAGCCUACCUGAAUUAUGCGAAACAGAGUCUGAACUAAUUUCUUCCGAGUGUGUAUCAAAUAUUUCAUGUGUAGGGAUUACAACUUUAUGCAAGUGAAUAAUUUUUCAAAAGGAGUAAAAGUGAUCAAAUACCAGUGUUUUUUCAUGUUUUCGGACCAUUCUACUUAAAAAAUUGAAAUUCUCGCGUUCAGGACACUUGUGGUCCUUCUUGAACGG
Molecule: long non-coding RNA, 727 nt
Organism: Belonocnema kinseyi
Lineage: Eukaryota; Metazoa; Arthropoda; Insecta; Hymenoptera; Cynipidae
Exons: 3
Source: RefSeq, a predicted model, not a curated record